Molecule: unclassified non-coding RNA, 385 nt
Filed under: uncultured Phycisphaeraceae bacterium
Lineage: Bacteria; Pseudomonadati; Planctomycetota; Phycisphaerae; Phycisphaerales; Phycisphaeraceae
Description: contains 16S-23S intergenic spacer region
Source: RNAcentral
UCCGGUUUAACACCGGCAGUCUCAUUAGAGUCCGCAGCUUUACCUGUUCGCAACUAAUGAUAGGGGUUUCGCUCGUUAAGGGACUUAACCCGACACUUCACAGCACGAGCUGACGACAGCCAUGCAGCACCUGUGUAUGUUCCACUACAAGAGUGUCAUCUGCCUUUCAGCAGACUAAUCCAUACAUGUCAAGCCUAGGAUAAGGUUCUUCGCGUUGCUUCGAAUUAAGCCACAUGCUCCACCGCUUGUGUGAGCCCCCGUCAAUUCCUUUGAGUUUUAGCCUUGCGACCGUACUCCCCAGGCGGUGCACUCAACGUUUUUACUUCGACCGAGAAGGUGUCAGAACCACCUCGAUCUAGUGCACAUCGUUUACGGCGUGGACUAC